GGGGCUGUGGCUUAGUGGCAGUGCAUCUGCUUGGCAUGCAGAAGGUAACAGGUUCAAUUCCCGACAUCUUCA
RNAcentral lists this transfer RNA (72 nucleotides) under Sphaerodactylus townsendi. RNAcentral describes it as "tRNA-Ala". It matches the Rfam family "tRNA". From Rfam's summary of the family: Transfer RNA (tRNA) molecules are approximately 80 nucleotides in length. Their secondary structure includes four short double-helical elements and three loops (D, anti-codon, and T loops). Further hydrogen bonds mediate the characteristic L-shaped molecular structure. tRNAs have two regions of fundamental functional importance: the anti-codon, which is responsible for specific mRNA codon recognition, and the 3' end, to which the tRNAs corresponding amino acid is attached (by aminoacyl-tRNA synthetases). tRNAs cope with the degeneracy of the genetic code in two manners: having more than one tRNA (with a specific anti-codon) for a particular amino acid; and 'wobble' base-pairing, i.e. permitting non-standard base-pairing at the 3rd anti-codon position. The record is from RNAcentral. Lineage: Eukaryota; Metazoa; Chordata; Lepidosauria; Squamata; Sphaerodactylidae.